UAUUUUUAUUAUUUUUUAUUUCACGUGACAGGGACAAAAAAGAAGUGUUUUGUCGUUAUUAUGCGAAUUCCGCGAAUUAUACUUUAAACGUGACACAUAUCAUGCGAAGAAACUUCUCGCGUUAUAACAGGCAGUUUGAUACUUCUACAGCUGAAGACGAUUCGUAUUUCACAUCGGAUCUUGAUUUACCAAAUCCAAAAGUGACACAGUCUUAUAAUCGAAAAUUGAGACUUGCUUGUCGAACGUCAAAAAAC
This is a long non-coding RNA of Wasmannia auropunctata (little fire ant), 254 nucleotides long. RefSeq lists it as uncharacterized. Lineage: Eukaryota; Metazoa; Arthropoda; Insecta; Hymenoptera; Formicidae. The transcript is spliced from 3 exons. The record is from RefSeq and is a predicted model, not a curated record.